Non-coding RNA from Trichonephila clavipes, 75 nucleotides. The record is from the annotation of a GenBank genome assembly. NCBI's taxonomy places the organism in Eukaryota, Metazoa, Arthropoda, Arachnida, Araneae, Nephilidae.
GUCCCUGUAGCGCAAUGUGGAUAGCGCGUUGUGCUUCUAAUCCAAAGGUCGUGGGUCCAAAUCCCACCAGGGAUG